GAUGAACGCUGGCGGCGUGCCUAACACAUGCAAGUCGAACGAAGCGCCUUACCGGUUUCUUCGGGUGAAGGUCUGGUGACUGAGUGGCGGACGGGUGAGUAACGCGUGGGUAACCUGCCCUGUACAGGGGGAUAACGGCUGGAAACGGCUGCUAAUACCGCAUACGCGCACGAGGAGACAUCUCCUCGUGUGAAAAAGUCCGGUGGGAUAGGUUGGGCCCGCGUCUGAUUAGCUGGUUGGUAGGGUGAUGGCAUACCAAGGCAACGAUCAGUAGCCGGGAUGGGAGGCUGACCGGACACAUUGGAGCUGAGACACAGUCCCAAAUCCUACGCAAGGCAGGAGUGGAGAACAUUGCACAAUGGGGGCAGCCCUGAUGCAGCAACGCCGGGUAAGUGAAGCAGUAUGUCGGUAUGUAAUGCUCUAUCAGCAGGGAAGAUAAUGACGGUACCUGACUAAGAAGCUCCGGCUAAAUACGUG
This 477-nucleotide ribosomal RNA is filed under the name uncultured bacterium. RNAcentral describes it as "partial 16S ribosomal RNA". It matches the Rfam family "Bacterial small subunit ribosomal RNA", at positions 28 to 507 of the family's 1533-position model. The record is from RNAcentral.